CACUUUUUCAAAAUUGUUGGUGAAAGGGGAAAAAAUUUUUUAUCGUAGAUUUCAAUAAUUGUACUCAAAAUUGGUUAUAUCGCCAAAUUCGGCAUUUAAAAUUUAAGAAAAAAUGUUGGCAUUGUUAGGCACCCAGUUCAGUUCCUAAUAACGCCAAAACGGUGACCUCACUUUGAACUGUUAUAGCUCGAAGGAAAAAGAUUAUAAAAAUUCAAACAUUCACUCAAAAUAUACCUUCAUGUAUCCUUUAUCGCCUACACGAAUCUGAAUGGGAAUAAGUUUAAUUGUGACUGAGUAAUUCCAAUUUUUCGAGUGCAUGGCGUUAAUAGGGCACAUUACCUCAUAACAAACCUUGAAUGAGAAUACUUCAUAAAAUCGUGGUUUCUGUAUGAAAACAACACAUUAUUAAAUCAUUCGAUGAGAAAUUUAAUUUUAUUUAACCAAAGUCCUCAUCACGCAAAAUUUACGUACCUGGGUAAUUCUCAGAAAAAAGGUCAAUUUUGAUGUGCAUAAUUUUGAAAAAUAAAAAUCAUUUUUUUGGAAAAUUUCAAGUGGGAAUCAUUUGUAUAGGUGUCCCAGAUCCCUGUUCUAGUGUUGGCCUCAAUUCAAUCCCCCCCCCCACUGUGGACCCCGGCCCCCCUAAAACAGCGAUAAUUAGGAUUCGACCCUCAUCGAUGUGUAAUAUGUCGAUUGAUAUGUUUUCGAGGUCGUAGAAUUCGAAUCUGGAGUUAUUUUUUAUGUAGAGGUGGAGGGGGAGGCGUGGGGAGGGGGAAAAUGUCAAAUUUUGCGUAUAUUAUCGUGUAAUAUGUCAUUAUGUUUUUCAGGCCGCAAAGUUCGAAUCUGGACUUAUUUUUAUGGUAGGGGUAGAGGUGAGGUGUGGGGAGGGAGAAAAUGUCAAAUUUUGCUUGUUUUAUCGUGUAAUAUGUCGACUAGCGCGAUAAAAGUACAGCUGUCUGAAAUUUGGCCAAGUCGAAGGACAAAUGGGCGCUGGACAAGCCGAAGGACAAUCUCAACGUUUUUUCGUUUCUAGCCUUAGCUACUGGACAUUAUUCGAUUUUUAACACGUAAUAAAUGUGUACUUAUCAUGUAGAAUAACUUCCCUUUCUCAAUUAUCGUUUUUGGCGGGUUCAUCAGGGUAAAUAAAAAGGCAAGCCGAAGGACGCCAAUUUUGCGAAAUAUCAUAUUUUCAGAGACAAGUACGAUCAGAACGAGCCAUUGCGUAGGUUAUGAGAAUAACAUUGCGGGGUAACAUUUUUAUGAAGACAGUGAACCAGUGCAGCCACUCACCAGAAAAAAAUAUUGGAUUGGGAAGCUACCAAAAAUAAUUGAAAAUUGCUCUAAAAUUUGCGCAAAAAGUGUGUGACAGUUUUCAAAUGUGAAAUGUCAGCUUCCUAUGGACUUAUUCCAAUUGCAAUUUGCACAAUAAUGGACCUUCGUGUUCUAUGAUAAUGAGAACGUGCCAAUUUUUCCCCAAAAAAAUGAAGUUCAUGACACUUUAUAACAUUUAUUUUCAAAAACAUGGUGUGUGACAGCCAAGUCGAAGGACAUUUGGGGUAUAAAAUCGAAUGUACACCAAUGAAAGGAGGGACUAAAAAUUUCAAUACCAUAUGCGAAAUGUGUGGGGGAUGAUCCUUGAAUGGACCAAAAAAAAAAAAAAAAAUUCAUGCUAAAACCUUUGAGAAAUUUGCCAUGUACACCAAUUAUACCUUUUUCUGAGAAUUACCCACUUACAUUCGCUAAUUUCCACUAAAAAGUUGAAAAACAGAAUUUCUCCCAUGAUGGUAGGUACCUACCUAACCAAAAAUGUUGAAAUGAAAACUUGAAAAAAAAACCGGUGGGAUGUAUCUAGUGCUAUGACGUUAUCAAUAAGAAGUUUUCAAUUCUGGGACAGUGGCAAUAAAUGGUUUUGAACGACUUGUAGCCUAUAUUUUCUACAUAAAGUUGUGCAAUACUGUAAAUUAUUUCUCAUCGUUUCUUUUGAUUGGUUCACUUUACUGAACGUAUUGUUUUUCUAUCGAGUAUGUGUUAAGUUCUUAUGUUGUACUUUUUUCUUUGUUAAAAUGUUGUACUUAAGUUUUUUUUUGCUCUUGGGUAACUUAUGGAAUUUAUGAAAUUCCUACCUAACAUUUAAAUACGGAAAAAUUUGAGCAGGCUACUUCAUUCUAUGCAAGUGAAAUUGAGAACUCAACACUCCUCGAUCGUGACAAUCGUAUAACUAGAUUCUGACUCUUGGUUAUUAAUGCCUUUUUGCAUAGGCACCUUACCUAUAUUGUUUCAAAAACAGAAGAAAUGCGCGAAUCCGAAAAAUGGCCAAGAAAGAAAUGAAGCUUGGUUCUUGGUUUGCGUUAAUAUUACUUAGUGUGAGUCCUUGUUCAAAAUGUGGAUUUUUUUUUGCAUGAUGUUUUCAUCGGAUUAACUAAAAAUGAUUAAGAGGUUGUAGAGUGCCCUAAAUGUUGUGAAUCAACUCAUAAACUGUUUUUUAAUAAGUUUCAAUUGGUUUUUCUUUGAUUAGAAUACCGCAUUGUCGACGUUAGGUACCUAUAAUUAAUAUGCUGUCCAGAACAUAACACCCUCCUGUCCUGAACAUGGCACCCAAGCACCGCCAGUUUUGUAUUUAGGUAGUUGCAAAAAAUAAGUAUAUGAUGUGUAUACCACCAAAAGGAAUCUUUUACCGCACUUGAUCCAUUUUUUGCACAUUACUGGGAGUCAAAAAUCGAAUUUGAAAUUUUUUGUCCAGAACAUCCUCCCUCUGUCCUACAUUAGCAACUGCUGUGUACUCUAUAUUUUCAACAAGCGAUUAAGUCGACUGCAGGUGAGUAUCAAGUCAUUCUGUAGCCUCCAGCGUUUUUUUUUUUUUGAAAUUCCAGUUUCCCAAAAAACGCCAUUAACACUUCAAAUUAUCUGAAACUGGUACGCUUGAGGUUGGUGCUUGUUAGUAACCCUCUUCACCGAUUAGGCUUUUGUCAUUUUUUCAGAAUAGGUCUAUUUCCAGUUCGGAACCAUAGUUUAUUUCUCCAGAGAAUUCAUAUUUGAAAAUUUGAAAAAUUCACCUUUCCUCUGUCGUUUGGCACGUGAAAGCUGAAAUUCAGUUUACACCUUAUUUCUGACAUCUCGAGACCGCAUUAGCACACUUCUUGUGAUUGGGGCUUUAUAUAUAUGUAGUACCCCGCUUGACCAAUUACACUCCAAAAUGAAUGGUUCUGUACCAGAACACACCGAUUUUGGAUAAAUGGCGUGAGGAGGGAAGAAUCUCCUCCUUAAAAUUCACGUAAAUUUGCUUAUUUCCACGGAAAAGUCCAAAAAGAAUUUAUCUGCCUAGAUAUACCUACCUUACCAAAAACUUUGAAAUGAAAAUUCUGAAAAAAAAAAACAAUGGGAUGUAAUGCUUUGACGUCAUCAAUAAGAAGUUUCCAAUUCUGGCGCAAUGUGGUUUCGAAUAUUGUGUUUCCACAUAAAGUCUCGUAAUGAAUUAUUUCUCAUCGAUUCUUUCAAUUGGUUCAAUUGGUUCAUUUUACUGAACGUAUUGUUUUUUUUAUCGAGUGGGUAUUUGUUCUGUUCAGUACCCAUGUUGUAAUUUUUCUCUUUGUUAAAAUGACAGGGGUGCUGUGUAGAUGAAUUUUUGAAAAGUAACUCGUCAAAUUGAUUUUUUCGGGGGGGGGGGGUGGAAAAUUUUUCCCUUCUCCUCGAAAAAGUCAUUCUUGUCUCUUACAUCGCAUGAACAGCUAAUUACACGUUAUUUUUAAAAAAAUUUCUCGUGAACCAUUGAUUUUUACUCUUUGAAAUACAAGUAUUCAAAAUUCAUUUCCUCUAAUCAAAAUAAGAGGAGAGAAAAAUAUUGACUUCUCCCAUCUUAAUACUGUUGUUUUACUCUUGAAGAUUGAACAAUUUAGAAUUUUCAAAAGCAUCAGCCAGCGCUUCGCGCGGGCUUUUAUGGUAUUAGAUAUGCUCUUCCAAAGACAAAAAAUUUUGAAGCCAUGAAAACAAAGUUUAUACCUACAUCAUCAGGAAUGGUACCUACAUAUUAGUUCGCACUUUGCACCUCAUACUAAUACUACAUAGGUAUUUCAAAGCUUUUGCCCCGCCUCGCUUGAGCUUGAUCAUUCUCUGGCCGAAGUUGGAGAGUAGAAAAAUUGACUCCUCGCAUCAAAAAUAAUGCUGUUUUACUUCUGAGGAAUUGUGAAUUUUUGAAAGCUUCGCUUGUACUCUUAUUUUUAAAAAUAAUAGAUAAUGUAAGUAAGUACUUACGUAAUUUUUGAAAAUUUUGAAGCUAUGAAAAUUAACUUUUGAAUAAGAAAUGACUUUGUUUUACAUUUUGAAUUAGGUAUCAAUUUUUCACAGCUUUCGCCCUUGCUUUGCUCGGGCAGAUUUGAAUUCUGCUGCGCAAACUUUCAAACAUUUCCUAGAAUGGAAAAAUUAACCCAAGAAAUUUUAAAAACAUUUAUACUCCAUUAAUGAAAAAUUUCAAUUUUCAAUUACACUUAAUAUACCUAGACAUUACGUGACAGCGGCUUCAAAGUACAAUGAUGUUGGGAGGGCAUGAAAAUAUGUGGGGGUUAUCUUAUAAAAGUACACACUAAAUAGCUAAGUUGUUGGGAAAUUUGCGAUGUUGGGGUUGGCAUUUUCAAGAUUUUUUCCCCUCCUACUAAAAUUGGUUUGCUUCACCACUGGGAAAUGGACAUACUUAUCGCACCUUGGUCCUUGAGAGUAUUAAGGUUACAUCUCAAAAAAAAAUAGAUUUUUGACAUUUUUGCAUUUUUGGGGUUUGUAUGGCCCCCUUCAACCAAAAAUAACACUUUGAGUUGGGUACAUUAUCUAGAUCUUGUAAAAACGCAAAUGGUCUAACUCAAAAGCUCAACAAUAUUGCAAGUUGUUUGGAGUUAUAAGGGUACAUCUCAAAAAACUCCGCCUUUUUUGAGUACCUAAAUUUUCGUAUGUACAAAGUGAUAAAAAACAGUUUUGAUUGUUUUGAAUGUUUGUCAGAUAGAAAUAAAUGUAGUCACUAGAAGUGUAUUUUUUAUUGGUUUGUACCAAAUGGAAAAAAAUUAAAUUCAUCUCUUUUCAGAAAAAUGAAUUUGCUCAUACUAUAAUGAAAUUUUAGUUUUUCGGGAAAAACUCAAAAUCUGAGCACUAUAGAAAAAAACUAACGAUAUUAUGUCAAUUGGAAAUUUAAUUCUCUACCGGACAGGUAAAGUGGUGCGCGCGUUGAAUUGCUUAACGAAAUAUGAAAUAGGUAUUAGGUAUGCAAUAAUCGCGAUCUCCGGCACCGGCCGCAGGCACUUACAUCAUAUUGCACAGUCGUGGGAAAUAUUAAGAUUGGAAAUAUCGGCGGCUUGGUUAUUUGCGUCAUAUGCUGUGAAAUUAUUUUUCUCCAAGCAAUUCCAAUCCGCUUAUAAAUAAAUGAAGUCGAGAUUGAAAUUUAUCUAGUUGUUUGUUAGACGGUGCACGGUGCGCGAGUAAAAAGGUGCUUCAUUUUCACGCCACAACAACGAUGCAAACAAUCGCCAUUGUUUUAAUCAUCUCGGUCCAGGGUUGUUAAAUUACCGUAAUUUAUUCGCUGGUAAAAUACGGCGGUAAAAUACGGUAAAAUACGGUAUUUUACCGUAUUUUACCAUCUUGAAUAAUGUAAUGAACUUAUAGUGUUCAACCCUUCAAAGGUUCAAACUUAUAAAAUUGUGUAUUAUUAUAUGAUGGGUGGAAAUUUCAGUAAUUUUCUGCUUGAAAUUUGAAAACAAUAUGAAACUAUGAAGGGGUUAAAAAUUACAUUAACAACACUUAAAAAACCUUGAAGUUACUGAAAAUUACUAAAAAUAAAAACUAAAAAGUGAUGAAAGAUGGCCAAUGGGGAAAAAUUAAUUGUAUAACCAUUAACCAAUAACCAUAAAACUGGAAAGCAAUAAAGCAUGGAUUAAAAUUAUAAUUAAAAAUUAAAAUCAUUCAAAAUUGUCAACAAAUCAAAAAUUGACCAAUUUGGUUAUUUUAAUGAUUGAAAUAACCAAAAUUUAAUGAUUUUGAACUUUGAAGCACAUUUUAUUUUAAUGACAUUUCAAUUGAUUUCAACAUGUUUUCACGAUAUGAUGCCAUUUGCCAUUUUUUUUUAAGUUUUUGACCAAUUGUGAAUAAUUUUCUGGGAAUUGUUUGGUAAUUUUCAAGACAUUUUUCUGUUUAUAAGUAACAUGCAUCAAUUAUCAUUAGCAUUUAUGCAAAUUAAUUGUAAAUUUUGAUGCCAAUCAUCUUCAGCUGUUGAUUCAUCCUUUCAACUUUCAAAUAAUGUGGCAAAAAAUGCUUUUUGGUAAUUUACGGUAAAAUACGGUAAUAAACUUUUGGUAAAAUACCGUAAAAUACCGUAAAAUACCGCCGUAAUUUACCGACAUAAAUUACCUUACAACCCUGUCUCGGUCAGCUCACAGCGCGCUGUACUUCCAAACCAACAGGAAGGACAACGUGUACUCGAGGAUAAAAUUAUUUCCUCUAGCCGAGCAACGGAUCCUUCGAACAGGAACAAUUACAAAGAUGAAGUACCUGAACACAUCAUAAUUGGAACUAAUGGCGUUGUAGAGCUCGAUGGGGUGUUUAAAGCGAAUGAUGACCAAUUCAGAGCUGGCAAACUGGAGUUAUUUAUCAGUCAGAAGGAAAUUCGCAUCAAUGAUAUAACGAUUCUUCGGAGAACUCCUACUGAUUCGCGUAUUAUCCACAAUGGCCAUCUCUCCUUCUAUACGAAUUAUUUUAAAAUUCAGACAUUUAAAAGCGGUCUAACUUUGUAUGAAGAUGACAAAGUAAAAAUUACGCUUACAAUUCCUGCCGCGAGUGUUUUGUUUAAGGGAGUACCUGAACACAUCAUAAAAGGAACUAAUGGCGUUAUAGAGCUCGAUGGGGUGUUUAAAGCGAAUGAUGACAAAUUCAGAGCUGGCAAAGUGGAGUUAUUUAUCAGUCAGAAGGAAAUUCGCAUCAAUGAUAUAUUUAUUCUUGGGAGAACUCCUAUUGAUCCGCUUAUUAACGACAGCACGACUCUCACCUCCGAUACGUAUAAUUUUAAAAUUCAGACAUUUAAAAACGGUCACACUUUGUAUGAAGAUGAUACCUAAAGUAAAUAUGACGAUUCCAUUUCCUCCCACCGCGAGUGUUAUCCUUAACUAACGCUGAAUAAAUUUCGAAUGUUAGCAAUGUUUUGAAUGCAUUCAAACUGUCGAAUAAAUUCAUGUUGUCACAAU
Long non-coding RNA from Planococcus citri (citrus mealybug), 7208 nucleotides. RefSeq lists it as uncharacterized. NCBI's taxonomy places the organism in Eukaryota, Metazoa, Arthropoda, Insecta, Hemiptera, Pseudococcidae. The record is from RefSeq and is a predicted model, not a curated record. The transcript is spliced from 2 exons.